AGCAGUCUUUGGGGCAGGGUGCAAUUCCCUACCGGCGGUAAAGCCCGCGAGCAAUUAUUUGCAUGAUUUGGUGAAAUUCCAAAGCCGACAGUAUAGUCUGGAUGAGAAAAGAUGGAA
Megamonas hypermegale ART12/1 is the source of this 117-nucleotide non-coding RNA. The record is from Rfam. Lineage: Bacteria; Bacillati; Bacillota; Negativicutes; Selenomonadales; Selenomonadaceae.